UACGUAGGGGGCUAGCGUUGUCCGGAAUCAUUGGGCGUAAAGAGCGUGUAGGCGGCCAGGUAGGUCUGGUGUGAAAACUCGAGGCUUAACCUCGAGAUGUCAUCGGAAACCAUCUGGCUAGAGUACGGGAGAGGAAAGUGGAAUUCCUGGUGUAGCGGUGAAAUGCGUAGAUAUCAGGAGGAACACCGGUGGUGUAGACGGCUUUCUGGACCGUAACUGACGCUGAGACACGAAAGCGUGGGUAGCAAACAGG
RNAcentral lists this ribosomal RNA (253 nucleotides) under uncultured bacterium. RNAcentral's name for it is "partial 16S ribosomal RNA". It matches the Rfam family "Bacterial small subunit ribosomal RNA", at positions 524 to 776 of the family's 1533-position model. The record is from RNAcentral.